GAUGAACGCUGGCGGCGUGCCUAAUACAUGCAAGUCGAGCGAACAGACGAGGAGCUUGCUCCUCUGACGUUAGCGGCGGACGGGUGAGUAACACGUGGAUAACCUACCUAUAAGACUGGGAUAACUUCGGGAAACCGGAGCUAAUACCGGAUAAUAUAUUGAACCGCAUGGUUCAAUAGUGAAAGACGGUUUUGCUGUCACUUAUAGAUGGAUCCGCGCCGCAUUAGCUAGUUGGUAAGGUAACGGCUUACCAAGGCAACGAUGCUUAGCCGACCUGAGAGGGUGAUCGGCCACACUGGAACUGAGACACGGUCCAGACUCCUACGGGAGGCAGCAGUAGGGAAUCUUCCGCAAUGGGCGAAAGCCUGACGGAGCAACGCCGCGUGAGUGAUGAAGGUCUUCGGAUCGUAAAACUCUGUUAUUAGGGAAGAACAAAUGUGUAAGUAACUAUGCACGUCUUGACGGUACCUAAUCAGAAAGCCACGGCUAAGUACGUG
RNAcentral lists this ribosomal RNA (497 nucleotides) under uncultured bacterium. RNAcentral describes it as "partial 16S ribosomal RNA". It matches the Rfam family "Bacterial small subunit ribosomal RNA", at positions 28 to 507 of the family's 1533-position model. The record is from RNAcentral.